UACAGAGGUCUCAAGCGUUGUUCGGAUUCAUUGGGCGUAAAGGGUGCGUAGGCGGCGCGGUAAGUCGGGUGUGAAAUCUCGGAGCUUAACUCCGAAACUGCAUUCGAUACUGCCGUGCUUGAGGACUGGAGAGGAGACUGGAAUUUACGGUGUAGCAGUGAAAUGCGUAGAUAUCGUAAGGAAGACCAGUGGCGAAGGCGGGUCUCUGGACAGUUCCUGACGCUGAUGCACGAAGGCCAGGGGAGCAAACGGG
RNAcentral lists this ribosomal RNA (253 nucleotides) under uncultured bacterium. Its description in RNAcentral is "partial 16S ribosomal RNA". It matches the Rfam family "Bacterial small subunit ribosomal RNA", at positions 524 to 776 of the family's 1533-position model. The record is from RNAcentral.